This 371-nucleotide ribosomal RNA is filed under the name uncultured organism. RNAcentral describes it as "partial 16S ribosomal RNA". It matches the Rfam family "Bacterial small subunit ribosomal RNA", at positions 527 to 896 of the family's 1533-position model. The record is from RNAcentral.
GUAGGUGGCAAGCGUUGUCCGGAAUUAUUGGGCGUAAAGCGCGCGCAGGCGGUCCUUUGAGUCUGAUGUGAAAGCCCACGGCUCAACCGUGGAGGGUCAUUGGAAACUGGGGGACUUGAGUACAGAAGAGGAAAGCGGAAUUCCAAGUGUAGCGGUGAAAUGCGUAGAGAUUUGGAGGAACACCAGUGGCGAAGGCGGCUUUCUGGUCUGUAACUGACGCUGAGGCGCGAAAGCGUGGGGAGCAAACAGGGAUUAGAUACCCUGGUAGUCCACGCCGUAAACGAUGAGUGCUAAGUGUUAGGGGGUUUCCCGCCCCUUAGUGCUGCAGCUAACGCAUUAAGCACUCCGCUGGGGAUACGGCCGCAAGGCUG